Molecule: non-coding RNA, 2351 nt
Organism: Lolium perenne
Lineage: Eukaryota; Viridiplantae; Streptophyta; Magnoliopsida; Poales; Poaceae
Source: RefSeq, a predicted model, not a curated record
UCCACCUCAUGGCCAACUGCGUACACCGACCAACCCCAAAUCCCCAACCAAAUCGCCUUUGUCCCUUGCCCCACGGCUGGCGGCGGCUCCGAAGGCCACCAGCCCACCGCCGGCUGCCCCGCCAACCAAGUCGCUUUUGCCCCUUGCCCCACAGCUGCCGGCGGCUCCGAAGGCCACCAGCCCGCCGCUGGGUGCCCCAGCGGCAAGUCGUGAUGCAGAGGAACCCUGCCUUCUCCACCACCUCAGGCAUGGCGAUCGUGCGGGACAUCGCACAGAACUGAGGAGGCUUGGCAAAGGAGCUUACACAGGCCAUCGAGGGAGCCCGAGACCGGCGGCGGAGAUGCAGCUGUGGCUGGCUCGGCCGCCCGAGACCGGCGGCGGAGAUGCAGCUGUGGCUGGCCCAGGCGUGCCAAUUCACCUAUGAAGUGGUUCUGUUUAUCAACAUCCCACCCUAGCUUCAUUUUCCUGUUGUCAUGUCGUCGCCUUGCAGGUGUGUACCUGGUAACCUGGGCAGGAGCCCCACUUUGCACUGAUUUGCAGUCUUCCAUUCUGCAUCAGAUUCAUUGAACUGGAGUUAUAAAUUUGUUGUGCUACUUUGAAGAUGCAAGACAGUAAGUAGUGGUUCUGCUUGCAACACAUUCCAUUUUUUUCAGUUUGUUCUUCACUUUAACCAUUCCCCAUCUGCACGUCUCAUGAACAUUAUGUAUAUGUAGGGCAAGGUUUUUCUUCAUCCCAUGCAUUGUCCAUACUUCACAUGUUUGCCUUUUAUACUUCUUAUUGCAUUGGUUUUCUUUGUUUGUAUAGUUGUAUGUAGGUUUUAGAGGUCAAUACUUGGAUGAUUGUUACCAGAGGGGUUAAACAGGCAUUGUUCUUUUGUCAGGUAAUAGUUGCUGCUUGGCAUUGGACUUUUGGCACUCCCUUGCACUGAGCGCGGCAAUGCUCGGCUCUCCAUGUGUGAUCACUCCUGCUCGGAGCAUUGCACCGUCGACUACUCUCCGUGCUUGGCAGACUUCACAACAUUUCUUCCGUUCAUGAUGCAAUGAAACUACCAUCGUCACUCGGGUGAGCACCCAUCCAGUUCAUUGUCAUGAUGAUUGACCGGUCCCCCCCCCCCCCCCGCCAUAAGAGACGAGCUAAUCGCUGUCAGGUUUAGGAUGUAAUGGUACUAAUGAGAUUAGUAUGAUUGCAUGCUUAAUUUCAAAAAUAAAGAAGAAGCCCUGUUUGACGGGCAAGCGACGGUUUCAAAAAUAAAAUGACACUAGCGCCGCUGAAGUAAACAAGCACAUGAGAUUUCCAUGUGGUCCAACAUUAUCAAAGAAAAAGAAAAGCCCCAAGGAACUGUUCCCACAUGAGUUCUAAUCAUCAUGGUCUCAGUAUGUCUGCAGACAUGCAUGAAGAAACACUUUACCUCACUAAGUAAAAAAACCCCUCGCUGCUUCCCUCUCCUCUCAUUCCUUUGGUAUUGAUGAUUUAUCGAUAAUUUUACCCGUGGGCUGAUUGGUAUUAUUAUUUGCUUUGGCUGCUUUUUAGUCCUUGGAUAGUUAACUAUUUCUACACAUCUUUUCUUUUCUAUGACUGUUACAGCACUGUAGUAACUUGGUUUGUUAGGUUUAUUUUGGUUUGCUAAUUUCAGAUCUGUAGAAUGUUGAUGUAAGUCUGGCCACUUCCACUCUGGCUUUUGGAUCUAGAUAGCUCGACGUUCAGCUUGCCAUCAACAAACAGAGGUGAGAAGACACUGUGCCCAGACAAUUGUGGAUGACAAGAACUCUCAGGAAGAUAUCGCCUGAUUUUCCCCCAGGAGAAGGUGAACCGUUUGUCUUUCCUCUGCUUUUUCCCUAUGCUAUUUAAAUACCUAAUCGUACCUACUUUCUCUUCCUUUCUCGGUCCUUCGUGGUCUACACUAUCGGUUUGAAAUUUACAUGCACAUGUGUUCAUUGGGCUAACAUGUGGGAGAUGGUAGACUUCUUUGAUGCCAAACCAAUAGACAAGAGAUUUUUUACCCUCUGAAAAUUUAUGUGGGCGUGACUAUCGAAAUUUAUGGCCUUUAUAGAACGAUUUCCUUAUAUUACCUCAUAUGUGAAUUAAGAAAUAUAUUGAUUCUUUCAUGUAGUUGUAGUAUUCCUUUUAUGCCUGAAUUCAUGUAAAUGAAUACUUAAUAAUGAUAGUGUAUAUUUAUGUUUCGCACAGUAGGUGUAUUUUCACGGCCAUCCGGAAUAUGUUGCUUUCCUGGGAUUUUGUCAGCACCAGUUUUUUUGUAUCAUCAUAAUGUCACUACUUGCUCUAUCUUUGUAAGAUGUACGGACAACCAAUUUGAUAGCUAUACUGUCAUAUUUUUAGGCAAAGAAAAACCU